UGCAGCAAGAAAACACUUUUGAUAAUUUGCAAUUUAAAUUUAAAUUUAAUAAUUUUAGUGUGUGGCUUAUAAUUGUAUGGUUGUUGUACAUAUGUGCAGGUCUAUUUUCAAUCGUCUUUUUGUGUUGUAAAGCUCAUUUAUACAUUUGUUUGGGAAGAAUUUUAAUCUUGUACUUAUUCUAUUGUAUGUAUUUAUAUUUUUAUCAUUUUAAUACCUUAUGGCCGUAUGAAAUUUCUGCUCGCAAAAAUACAAGUUCUUGGAAACGAAACUUCUACUUGUGCCGUGUAUUUUUAUGCACUUAUUGUAACAAGAUUCUUUUUGUUUCAGUUUUCCUAACAAUUUGACUGUGAAGGAAAAUUCCUUACAAGCCACUGCUAUAAGGAUAUAUUGGACUGCACAUAAAGAAAGCUGGAACCAUUCGCCUCCAGAGUCUUCUCUCACGGUUAUUUAGAUUGUUGGGCAAGGACAAUUGUUUAUUCACUACAUUGGAAAGGUGAUGAGAUCAAUUGGUGCUGAAUUUUAACCCGCUUUGUUUGUUCUACCUGGACCAUUUUAAUAAUAGCAAUUUUAUGAUGAAAAUAUUAUCCAAAUUGAUUUGUAACGGGUUGGAUAAAGAGUCUUGCAAUGAAUGGACAUAAUGUGACAUAUUGAUCACACCAUUGCACAAACUUCUGGAUACCGCAUUUUGAGCGACUUUAGUUGAAAAAAUUCUUUUUCGCAUCGGAAUGUAGCUGUAUCUGAAGGAAGCCAGAAUGUUGUCUGCAGUAGUAUCCCUCCAGGAUUUGGCUUCUUUAUCACACUUGUAGACUACAGAACGCUAGCUUCUGUAUUUAAUUAAGAUUGUUCAGCAGAUGAGCAAGAAUUAAAGUUGAGUUUGUUCAUACUGAAACAACCAAUAUCUACAUGGGUGUCGUCUUUCUUGGAUUAUAUUAGUGAUUUGCUGUUUUCCUCUUCACCUUGCAACAUAAUGUAGUUAACUUUCGAUCGAUGAGGGAGACCAACUGGAGAUUUAUUUGAAUUCUACUGAAGCAACAAAUUUUCUGAUAUGGUAUUCCUCAUGGAUUUGGUUUACUUUUCACACUUGUGAACACUGGAAUGUUACAGGCUAUAGUUAAUUAAGAUCGACAGUGGAGAAGACAAAGAAGAUCCCGUAGUUAAAAUUGUUCUUUAUUUUGUAUGCUCUAUCUAAUAGAAUCAAUUCUUUAAGUUCAUUUUAUUAUAAUCAAUUUUUUAUCUUGCAUGUGUUAUAUAGUUUAUUUAAU
This is a long non-coding RNA of Agrilus planipennis (emerald ash borer), 1262 nucleotides long. RefSeq lists it as uncharacterized. NCBI's taxonomy places the organism in Eukaryota, Metazoa, Arthropoda, Insecta, Coleoptera, Buprestidae. The transcript has 6 exons. The record is from RefSeq and is a predicted model, not a curated record.